Molecule: ribosomal RNA, 506 nt
Filed under: uncultured bacterium
Lineage: Bacteria
Description: partial 16S ribosomal RNA
Rfam family: Bacterial small subunit ribosomal RNA
Source: RNAcentral
GAUGAACGCUAGCUACAGGCUUAACACAUGCAAGUCGAGGGGUAACGAGAGGAAAGCUUGCUUUCCUUGUCGACGACCGGCGCACGGGUGAGUAACGCGUAUCCAACCUGCCCCCAACUAGGGAAUAACCUUGCGAAAGUAAGACUAAUACCCUAUAAUUUCCUCAGAUGUCAUCUGACGAGGAAUAAAGAUUUAUCGGUGGUGGAUGGGGAUGGGUCUGAUUAGCUUGUUGGCGGGGUAACGGCCCACCAAGGCAACGAUCAGUAGGGGUUCUGAGAGGAAGGUCCCCCACAUUGGAACUGAGACACGGUCCAAACUCCUACGGGAGGCAGCAGUGAGGAAUAUUGGUCAAUGGGCGGAAGCCUGAACCAGCCAAGUAGCGUGCAGGAUGACGGCCCUAUGGGUUGUAAACUGCUUUUAUACAGGAAUAAAGUUAGCCACGUGUGGUUAUUUGUAGGUACUGUAUGAAUAAGGACCGGCUAAUUCCGUGCCAGCCGCCGCUGUAA